This is a transfer RNA of Felis catus (domestic cat), 85 nucleotides long. It matches the Rfam family "tRNA". Rfam says of the family: Transfer RNA (tRNA) molecules are approximately 80 nucleotides in length. Their secondary structure includes four short double-helical elements and three loops (D, anti-codon, and T loops). Lineage: Eukaryota; Metazoa; Chordata; Mammalia; Carnivora; Felidae. The record is from Rfam.
GCCUGGGUGGCUCAGUCGGUUGAGCAUCUGACUUCGGCUCAGGUCAUGAUCUCCCGGUUUGUGGGUUCGAGCCCCACAUCGGGCU